AGAGUUUGAUCCUGGCUCAGGAUGAACGCUAGCUACAGGCUUAACACAUGCAAGUCGAGGGGCAGCAUGGUCUUAGCUUGCUAAGGCUGAUGGCGACCGGCGCACGGGUGAGUAACACGUAUCCAACCUGCCGUCUACUCUUGGCCAGCCUUCUGAAAGGAAGAUUAAUCCAGGAUGGCAUCAUGAGUUCACAUGUCCGCAUGAUUAAAGGUAUUUUCCGGUAGACGAUGGGGAUGCGUUCCAUUAGAUAGUAGGCGGGGUAACGGCCCACCUAGUCAACGAUGGAUAGGGGUUCUGAGAGGAAGGUCCCCCACAUUGGAACUGAGACACGGUCCAAACUCCUACGGGAGGCAGCAGUGAGAAAUAUUGGUCAAUGGGCGAUGGCCUGAACCAGCCAAGUAGCGUGAAGGAUGACUGCCCUAUGGGUUGUAAACUUCUUUUAUAAAGGAAUAAAGUCGGGUAUGCAUACCCGUUUGCAUGUACUUUAUGAAUAAGGAUCGGCUAACUCCGUGCCAGCAGCCGCGGUAAUACGGAGGAUCCGAGCGUUAUCCGGAUUUAUUGGGUUUAAAGGGAGCGUAGAUGGAUGUUUAAGUCAGUUGUGAAAGUUUGCGGCUCAACCGUAAAAUUGCAGUUGAUACUGGAUGUCUUGAGUGCAGUUGAGGCAGGCGGAAUUCGUGGUGUAGCGGUGAAAUGCUUAGAUAUCACGAAGAACUCCGAUUGCGAAGGCAGCCUGCUAAGCUGCAACUGACAUUGAGGCUCGAAAGUGUGGGUAUCAAACAGGAUUAGAUACCCUGGUAGUCCACACGGUAAACGAU
Molecule: ribosomal RNA, 815 nt
Filed under: uncultured bacterium
Lineage: Bacteria
Description: bacterial SSU rRNA
Rfam family: Bacterial small subunit ribosomal RNA
Source: RNAcentral